This 478-nucleotide ribosomal RNA is filed under the name uncultured bacterium. RNAcentral describes it as "partial 16S ribosomal RNA". It matches the Rfam family "Bacterial small subunit ribosomal RNA", at positions 28 to 523 of the family's 1533-position model. The record is from RNAcentral.
GACGAACGCUGGCGGCGUGCUUAACACAUGCAAGUCGAACGGUAAGGCCCUUCGGGGUACACGAGUGGCGAACGGGUGAGUAACACGUGGGUGAUCUGCCCUGCACUUCGGGAUAAGCCUGGGAAACUGGGUCUAAUACCGGAUAGGACCACUGCCUGCAUGGGUGGUGGUGGAAAGCUUUUGCGGUGUGGGAUGGGCCCGCGGCCUAUCAGCUUGUUGGUGGGGUGAUGGCCUACCAAGGCGACGACGGGUAGCCAGCCUGAGAGGGUGACCGGCCACACUGGGACUGAGAUACUGCCCAGAUUCCUACGGGAGGCAGCAGUGGGGAAUAUUGCACAAUGGGCGCAAGCCUGAUGCAGCGACGCCGCGUGAGGGAUGACGGCCUUCGGGUUGUAAACCUCUUUCAGCACCGACGAAGCGCAAGUGACGGUAGGUGCAGAAGAAGGACCGGCCAACUACGUGCCAGCAGCCGCGGUAA